UUUACAUAGCCUAGCAAAGCAACAAAUAUCGUGAGCUGCAGCUGGCAGAAUGACACUAAAUUGUGUAAUCGCUUUCUGGAGCUGCCGGCAUGCUGGGGGCCUGGGCCCAUGUCACAUGUACAGCAGCAUGGACAGAGACGUUAGUCAGCUGGUUCCUGUCAGCAAAUUUCUCCUCUGCUCUGUGACUGAAGGGCUUAGUGUAUGUCUGUGGCGGGUCACCAGCUGAUUGGCCCAGCUCUGCACCAACCAGAGAGACUGUGGCAGGUCACCAGCUGAUUGGCCGUGCUCUUCACCAACCAGGUACAUGCAGAGGGGGAGGUGUCAAGUGCGCAAGCACCUGCCUCUUCUGCUCUAAGUGCCCGACAUGCCCCUUUGAUUUGAUACCAAAAAAACAAUAUUUUUAUCAUCAUUACUGCAGUCAUUAAUUUUCAUUCAUUCACUCAUUCAUUCAUUCAUUUUGUUAAAAUAUGUGCUGUUUAAGGAACUGGACAUUGUAAAACCUAGUGUUUAUAGGCUGAUGUACCCAUUUCUCACUUUGAGCACCUGCCCCUCAAAAGGUCUUGCAGGGCCCUGACUCCAACCCCUGAAUUCAGUCAGUAGUUUGUCCCUGAAUUUGACAAAGUGCAAGCACUCUCCCGCUUAUUUGCUGAAGCCCUUGAGGUUAAGUAUCGUGCUCAAUGGCGCAAUUGCAGUGUACAGAGGUUAUAAAGGUAACCGCUCUGCAUCGAGAGCAAUGAAGGAGUUCAUUUCUUCACUGGGUCAAUACUAAUGAAACAGCCGCGUUUGUUAAUCAUGCAGAGAAGUCUAGUGCGAUCUCAAAGCCAAGGCCUGUCCUUUCCUCAACGGAAAGUCCGUUUGAAUUAAUCAAUCAAUCAAUCAUUUGAAUUGAUUCCAUUAAUUAAGUUGGUAAACAAUGUACAGACCUGCCUAAAUGUGUUGAUGAUUUCAUUUGGAAAAGGCAAUUGUUAUAAACGGCUUGAUUUUUUUUUUUUUUUGUUUGAUUUACGUUUGGACAAUGUGGUAAGGAUUGUAUGUCCUUCAGACAAUGUGGGAAUUUUUUCCUUACAUGUUGCGGUCCUGUGUCCUAGUGCUCUAGUUCACCACCUCUUUUCCUCAUGGUCAAUCUUGUUUCAUGGUCACCAUAAAGGCUUGUUAAAGUUGCGUUAACGUGAGCAGGCUUGGAAUUAAUUCCACUUACGUAACUAUCUGCAGGACCGUUAAUCAUACUUAGGGAAGCUGCAUUCUUCUGCGGGACAUCGGUGUCCAAAUACCGUGCGAUAGGAAUGCCGCGUUUAUAACCGUACUAAACCUGCUGGCGAUUUAAUGCACCAUAUUUCAUAUCGCAAUUUUUUUUUUGCACCCAGCGAGUCUCACGGCCCUUAUAAAACGGCACCUUCAUUCAUAUUUCAGCCAAUUCAUUCGUCGCGGCUCAUUAGACCAGGGAUCCGGCUCUAAUUGCGUAUGCACUUCAGAAUAUUUCAUUAGCGACCGCGGUUUAUUCGGCUCCGUUCCGUCUCUCUGGUUUCGUUAUCUCCAGUCCCUGACUGAGCACGCGGCUGACUGCGCACGUUCGCUCGAGACGCGGGAAGGAGCUUUCCAGAGGUAGCCUUCUGUUUGAGUUGGUCUGGGAGAGACACACCUGUCAGAAGUCUCCUUGCCCCACCCGCUAUCAGAAAAUGUUCCCCCUCCCUAGGCCUUCCCCUUGAUUGGUUGACCCAUUACACGCUGGCAGUGAUCCUGCCCUCUGAUAGGGUAAAACAUGAGGGUAGUGACCCUGCCACUUGGGUCUGAUAGUACCCAGUGAAUUUCUCUCAGCUUGAACAGCUGUAAAUAUAACUAAAUUCUAAAACUGAUUUUCUUUAUCAGUCGAGGUUUGUACAGUAAGACUAACAUGUUUGGAGUUUGCUGGCUUAGAUGAACUUUUUAAAGCUGAUAUCUCAAGAAAAUAGAAAUUAAAAGCACAGAAAAUACUGUACAAAUGUUGUACAGUAUGCGGAUUGUGUGAUAUAAGUUCUGAAUUUAAUUAUAAUUGCUACUGAUAUAAAACUAUUCCUACAUUCGUUGCCUAUGCAGUAGUAUAUCUUUAGGUGGCGUGGUGCUACACUCAGUUUCGGAUAAUAUUUUUUAAUGGUUCAUAAACCACAGGAUUCUGAUUCAUCUGAAGAAUCUUGCAUCAUGAUUGGGCGGAACAAACGCCUGUGUCCAAUAGCGAUGCCCCCACUUCCCCCCGCAGUGCUGAUGUUCCCACUUCUCAGUUCCCACACUCUUCCGCUUGCGUUAGCAUCACGAGGCUAAGCGCUUCGCGGCUACAGUGGAAAAGUAC
Molecule: long non-coding RNA, 2323 nt
Organism: Anguilla anguilla (European eel)
Lineage: Eukaryota; Metazoa; Chordata; Actinopteri; Anguilliformes; Anguillidae
Exons: 3
Source: RefSeq, a predicted model, not a curated record